GACGAACGCUGGCGGCGUGCCUAAUACAUGCAAGUUGAGCGCUGAAGGUUGGUACUUGUCCCGACUGGAUGAGCAGCGAACGGGUGAGUAACGCGUGGGGAAUCUGCCUUUGAGCGGGGGACAACAUUUGGAAACGAAUGCUAAUACCGCAUAAAAACUUUAAACACAAGUUUUAAGUUUGAAAGAUGCAAUUGCAUCACUCAAAGAUGAUCCCGCGUUGUAUUAGCUAGUUGGUGAGGUAAAGGCUCACCAAGGCGAUGAUACAUAGCCGACCUGAGAGGGUGAUCGGCCAAAUUGGGACUGAGACACGGCCCAAACCCCUACGGGAGGCAGCAGUAGGGAAUCUUCGGCAAUGGACGAAAGUCUGACCGAGCAACGCCGCGUGAGUGAAGAAGGUUUUCGGAUCGUAAAACUCUGUUGGUAGAGAAGAACGUUGGUGAGAGUGGAAAGCUCAUCAAGUGACGGUAACUACCCAGAAAGGGACGGCUAACUACGUG
Molecule: ribosomal RNA, 497 nt
Filed under: uncultured bacterium
Lineage: Bacteria
Description: partial 16S ribosomal RNA
Rfam family: Bacterial small subunit ribosomal RNA
Source: RNAcentral